This 1989-nucleotide unclassified non-coding RNA is filed under the name Leishmania donovani. RNAcentral's name for it is "gene:LdHU3.26.0490(CDS-product:RET2_RNA_editing_c omplex_MP57)". The record is from RNAcentral. Lineage: Eukaryota; Euglenozoa; Kinetoplastea; Trypanosomatida; Trypanosomatidae.
CCUGCAUACUGCCACACGGAACAGUGUUGCGUGAGGUCUUCUCAUUUAUCGGCCGCAGGCGUGCACGCACCUUUCUUCGCACGGAGGUGACCGCAUAUACGCGGGUCGCAUGCGAAGCCUCUGGGAGGUAGUGAUAGGCCGUCGCUAUGCACGCCCCUACUCCACUGUACCUCUACGUGGCCGUCACGCGCGGGCUGCGUUCGAGCGCGGUGGCGGCGCCGAGUUCGGCUGACGCUGCAUCUUCGCCGAGCGCAGCGUCCUCGUCGACGUCGGAGGGGGUCAGCUACGCCUCGCACCUGGUUGCUUCGAAGGAUCACUACGAGCAGUGGGGUCGCGCGCUGCUGGAGGAGAACAGCAAGCGGAUCGGCCCAGAGCAGAUGUUUCGCACGGCCAUUCGGGCCCAACAGCAGCUGCAGAUGCUUGCCGACAAGUGGACGCCGGAUGCGAAAAUUUACUGCUGCGGGUCGUUGGUGACGCACGGGCAGAUGGAGUGGGGCAGCGACCUCGACCUUGCCUGUGUCUUCGACGACCCAUACCCCGACCACUCCGUGCAGGCGAAGCGCACGGAAAAGCUGUGGUCAGUUGUCAAGCGCUACAUGCCGCAGUUUCUGCGCAACAAUCUCUUGGCCCUCACGGAGGCUCGCACCCCUGUCGUGAAACUGCGCUACGUCAACGACGACAAGGUCGCGCGGGGGCGGUACACCGUGCUGACGGAGGAGGAGGACCGCAAGUCGCGCACGACCCUGUGGGACAUACGCAACCGCCAUCUGGAUUCCAAGGACCUGGAAUACAUCGCCACAAAGAUGGGGCGGGAAAAUAUCGAGGGCAUCUGGGUGGAGCGGACGACGUAUGGCUGCCGGUGCGCGGUGCAGUGCACGUCGCGCGAGCAAGCCAUCGAGGCUGUCGGCUUCUUCCCAGAUGGGGUGAUCAUGACCAAGGGCAUGCGCGAGGACUACACGCGCGACAUGCUGGACCUCCGAUACGUGCCGGAGAUGUUCAUGUACAAGUGGGAUAUCUCUUUUGUGGCUUACGGCGUCAAGAACAGCUACCUGCUCCGCCACUAUCUGCACAACGGCCCCCCAGCUACUCGCCACGCAGCCAUGGCCGCGAAGGCGUGGGGCAAGGCCUCCGGCGUGGGGCUGGGGACGGCAGCCAUGCUCACCUCCUACGCGGUGACGGUCAUGUUUGUUCACUACCUCUUGGCAACUCGGCAGCUGGCCUGGAUCGACCCGUGGUCGCUAGCUCAUCCAGUCCACAUGCCGCGCUUCCCCGACUUCUCCCCACUUUGGGACUGCGACCCGGUCGAGCUCGGCAAGCUCUUGCACGGCUUCUUCAUCUACUACGCGGCUCACUUCAACUAUGAGAAGAACAUUGUCAGCCUCAGCCGCCCGCGGCUUUCACUCCGCUCCGACUUGAACUGGAACUUCCCGCAGAGCAAGCAGGGCACAUUCAGCUACCUCCUCGGCAUCGAAGACCCGUACGAAGACGUCGGGGCCGGCGGACUGAACCUCGGUCGCCACCUGCAUCCAGCUAAGUUCAACCAGGUAAAGCAGGAGUUCGCGCGUGCGGCGGCCACGAUGGAGCGCUACGUGCCGUCGAAUGCACCCGAAAAGACGAUCCUCGGUGUCAGACGCGGGGGUACGUCGAACCACCACCAUCACCAUAACCGCUUCGAUUAGUCGUGUGGGCCACACGUGCCUAUGCUUCUGUCUCUGCCUCUGCGCGUGACCUUUUCACGUUGAACAUCUCUUUUUCCGCUGUGCUGUGCCGCGGGUAAGUCUCUCUUGAUGUGCGGUGUGUGCGUGUGCGUGUGUGCUCUGUAGGUGUUUUGUUGUGCCUCCUUAUCGAGUUGUCUCGCAGCAGCACUCAUGUGCCCGCCUCUCCCUCCCUUCUUUGGCAAGGCGUGCGCCAUCGGCUCAUGUGCUACGCUAAUGCGUCACGUCGCCGCUCUAGGCGCCACGGCAUCUCGUGGCUGCUGGGCAUCCACUU